Molecule: ribosomal RNA, 467 nt
Filed under: uncultured bacterium
Lineage: Bacteria
Description: bacterial SSU rRNA
Rfam family: Bacterial small subunit ribosomal RNA
Source: RNAcentral
GAUGAACGCUAGCGGCAGGCUUAAUACAUGCAAGUCGAGGGGCAGCAGGGGUAGCAAUACUCGCUGGCGACCGGCAAACGGGUGCGGAACACGUACAGAACCUUCCUUUAAGUGGGGAAUAGCCCAGAGAAAUUUGGAUUAAUACCCCGUAACAUUAUGAAGUGGCAUCACUUUAUAAUUAUAGAUUCAUCGCUUAAAGAUGGCUGUGCGGCUGAUUAGGUAGUUGGCGGGGUAACGGCCCACCAAGCCUGCGAUCAGUAACUGGUGUGAGAGCACGACCAGUCACACGGGCACUGAGACACGGGCCCGACUCCUACGGGAGGCAGCAGUAAGGAAUAUUGGUCAAUGGACGCAAGUCUGAACCAGCCAUGCCGCGUGGAGGAUGAAGGUCCUCUGGAUUGUAAACUUCUUUUAUCUGGGAAGAAACCCACGUUUUCUAAUGUGGUUGACGGUACCAGAUGAAUAAG